This is a long non-coding RNA of Panicum virgatum (switchgrass), 815 nucleotides long. RefSeq lists it as uncharacterized. The transcript has 2 exons. NCBI's taxonomy places the organism in Eukaryota, Viridiplantae, Streptophyta, Magnoliopsida, Poales, Poaceae. The record is from RefSeq and is a predicted model, not a curated record.
GUCUUCUUCCAAACCAUUGCGCCUCCAAUAACCAUUGUUUCCUUUUUUGUGCUGUACAAUUUCAUAAUUCUGUUUAUAGAUCUUUUAUGUGCAGUAGUUCCUUUUUAUAUGUGCUAUUUUUCCCCUUCUAUCGUCUCCCCAGAAUUUGCACUUACCAAUCUAUCAAAUUAGCUAAUGUGAGCGGCUUCAACCUUAAUGUUGUUGCACAUGGCUGUUGACAUUUGGAGGUGUUGGAUUAUUGCUUUGUUUUUUAGUGAGGCAACAAAUGGAAUUUAAGUGACCCAGGAAUCCACAUUGGUAACCUACAAGUACCUAUCAUUUGCAGGAAAUUAGAGGGAAUGACUAUAACAAAGUCUGAUUGAUGCUCCAAGACAGGAGACAAGUUGCCGUGCCCAAGUAGGAAUGGCUAGCUGCUGCACACUGAGUGCCACGCAUGGCCAUACAUGGAUGCAAGAUCAUUUUCACACCAAGAAAAUCAAUGUGCUCAUGGAUGGUAUUGACUAUUCCUAGCAUAGACAAAUCGUUUUGCAAGCCAAACAUGUGAUCUGUGCCCUGAUGUUUUGUACAUAGUAGUUGUGCAAGCUAAACUUGUGAUAUCUGCAAGCCAAAGCAUGUGGCCUGUGGAAACUAAAUGGCAUGUCUAGAUACUUGUCUGAUCUAGCUUGCUGCUUUUGAAUUUUGUCAAAAGUUGUACUAGUACAAAUGUUGAUGGCUAUUAUAUGUGUCAGCCAAUCAAUUAUAUGAGCUGUGAGCUGUGUGAGCCAAUCAAUUAUAUGUUUGAGGUUAAAUGUGAGCUUGUAUGGUUAUUGUUUAAA